This 276-nucleotide long non-coding RNA is filed under the name Brassica napus (rape). RNAcentral describes it as "long non-coding RNA (BNAP_LNC018167)". Lineage: Eukaryota; Viridiplantae; Streptophyta; Magnoliopsida; Brassicales; Brassicaceae. The record is from RNAcentral.
GGGGAGAAGUGGGGAAAAACGAGAGAGAGAGAGAGAGAUGGGCGCGGAGUAGGGUUAGGGUUAGGUCGGGUCGGGUCGUCGGGUUUCGGGUCAAGAAAUCAUACAUGGGCUGCCGUGGAGCGGUUUCGGUACCCCGCUGCCACACCCCGCUCCAACAUCGUUUAUAUUUUGGAGUUUUGACGCGCGAGUUUCUAACCCCGCUGCCACACCCUGCGCUGAACCGUCGUCUGAGUCUUCGAAUCGUGGCGCGAUGUCUCGACCCCGCUGCAUCACCCC